GAGUCUGCUCUUCAGAGUCUUCAGACUUGCUACUUGGAGUGUCUAGAAGUCAUACAGUGAAUUGGAGUCACUUGGCAUUUUGACUUUGGAAUGAAAAUAUUGUGUGGCACGGCGGGGAGGCAGGGCAAUGUGAAAGGGAUCCCUGCAGGAUGCUGGUAGCAUUGGCUGGUGCAAAGUGUUGGAGUCCCUGAACUGGACAAGAGGAACGCUUUUAUAGGAGUACAGGGAGGCUGCAGCAGCUCAGAGUCAGUAAAGGGAACAGGAGAAGAGAGACAUGGUGACAGUGGGAGACUCAUUGUACACUGCAGGAAUUGAACUAAAAAGGCAACUCGAAGAUAAUGGCAGCCAGGCUUCACCCUGUCAGAGACAGAGGGUAAGAUGUGUAAAUGGAGGACUGUGUAUAAACCUGUGGGGUUUGCCCAUUCUAAUGGUCAGCUCUCAGUGUGGAUGCUUUCAGUUAUGGGUACAUGUCCAACACCUUUCCCUGUUCUGACUGAGACUAUCCCAACAAUAAUGAGUGUGCAUAUCAUGCAGAAUAUAAUUUUUCUCAAA
Molecule: long non-coding RNA, 552 nt
Filed under: Rattus norvegicus (Norway rat)
Lineage: Eukaryota; Metazoa; Chordata; Mammalia; Rodentia; Muridae
Description: long non-coding RNA NONRATT027946
Source: RNAcentral